GCUGGCGGCGCGUCCUACACAUGGGAGAAAACACGAGAAAGUGGAGCAAUCCAUGAGUAAAGUGGCGUACUUUUCCGUAACACGUGGAUCAUCUACCUUCUAGUGGGGAAUACCUCCGGGAAACUGGAGACAAUACCGCAUAAGCUCGUAAGAGGAAAGCAGCAAUGCGCUGGAAGAGGAGUCCGCGGCUGAUUAGCUAGUUGGCGGGGUAACGGCCCACCAAGGCGAAGAUCGGUAGCCGGCCUGAGAGGGCACACGGCCACACUGGCACUGAAACACGGGCCAGACUCCUACGGGAGGCAGCAGUGGG
RNAcentral lists this ribosomal RNA (310 nucleotides) under uncultured Acidobacteriota bacterium. RNAcentral describes it as "bacterial SSU rRNA". It matches the Rfam family "Bacterial small subunit ribosomal RNA", at positions 35 to 358 of the family's 1533-position model. The record is from RNAcentral. Lineage: Bacteria; Pseudomonadati; Acidobacteriota.